Labeo rohita (rohu) is the source of this 2136-nucleotide long non-coding RNA. RefSeq lists it as uncharacterized. The record is from RefSeq and is a predicted model, not a curated record. The transcript is spliced from 5 exons. Lineage: Eukaryota; Metazoa; Chordata; Actinopteri; Cypriniformes; Cyprinidae.
GACAAAUAUUCCAAAACUUUCUGAAAAUACAAUAUGAGAAUUAACUGCACAAUUACUAGAAAUGUGUACCUUGGAUAUUAUGCAAUUUCCAUACAUGCAAAUUUUUUGGAAAAGACAUUUAUGUAAAGACGUUUCGAUCUCUAACUUUGAACCAAUUCUGUAGAUAUAUUUAAUUAAACGUGUUCUAUAACUGUUCUCAGUGUUCUUCAGUAUUUUUUGAAGGAGAAUAGAAUAUGAUUGUACUUUACAUCUUGAUUUUAUUUGUUUUUUAGCAUUUUUCUUUUAGCAUUUGGCCCCCUAAUGUGUCCUGGUCCCUGUUUGAGAACCGCUGAUUUAUAUUGCAAUCUAAAACUUGUUUUUAAGUGAAUUUGUUCAGAGUUUGCAACAUUUUUAAGAAACUCUAGAGAAGAAACUUGUGAUAUUAUUAAGAAAAAUCUGUGAAGCACUUGAGCAAAAAUCUGUAUUUGCUCACCACUGCUGCAUAAAAGAAAAAGUUGAGAUACUAAAGAGAUCUUACAUGUGCUUUUUCUUUGUGCCUAUGCAAUUAUUCAAAAGCCAAAUGCAUUGUCUCCUCUGCAUUGCCAUUUAAUUGUAUUUACAACUAGUUUUUCAUGCUAACGUGAGUUCUGUUUCUCAGGAUCACAUUGCGGGGCAAAAACCUCCUAAGCGUUCGACCAGCGCAAGCGUGUUAAAGCUUGUAGAGGUGGAGCGGUCCACCUCAUCUGCUCUCUGCCAGAGCCGGCGCUUGUGAUAAAUGAGAGGAGGCCCGGUCUGCUUACUGAUGCACAGGAGAUACCGAACCAACCCGUCCCCCCACCUCCUCUUCCUCCAUCUUUCUGCUUCAUCUAUAUAUCAAAAACAACCGAUGGCAACAGAGUAAAAGUAGCCCAAAUCCGCAGUAAAACUGCAGACUUGGCAACCCUGCAUGUCACACUGAUAUCGAUACAACAUAAAUGGACGGGCCCUUUAUGCUGAAAUAUUCAUAAUGCUGUGAGGGGAGAGGAAAAUCAUAUCUGUCAUCGAUAAAGACGGCCCCUGCUGGGGCCUUGGUCUCCGUGGCCCACCGCGGCCCCGUAUGUCGAAAGCGAACCUGAGCGGUGGACCUCAGCGGUUGUUUAAUCGAAUCAGCCCGGGUCUGAGUGGAUCUGACUUCUCUCCUGUCCCGAGUGAGGGCUUCCAGUCACUGCCUGCCAUGGUUACCCUUCAGCCCCUAUAAACAAACCACAGUAAACCCCAUCCCAGAAUGCCCGCAGUUAGAGCCUCUGAGCCUCUGCGGAGACAUGAAAGUUCUGACUCUCAGUUCAGGCUUUCAUCUGCGUUCAUUUGCUGUGAGCUGAUACCAGCGUUAUUACGCUCAAACUGUAAAGCCUGAAUAAAAGGACGCCUAAUAAGAGUUGUUGGGAAUUUACGAAACUUAAAAACUUGUGCAGACAGUUGAUUCGGAAUGUUUGAGAGAGGUUUUGUGGUAUCGGCACCAUGUCUGCCAUGAUGACGUUUGUUAUGAAUUGUGGUUUACAGUGGUUCAAAACAUAAAUGCAAGUAUGAGUGUAUAGACUUACAGUUUAAAUGUUUUAAAAGAAGUCUCAACAAGGCUGCAUUUAUUUGAUCAAAAUCAAUGAAAACAAUAUAGCCGCAAGCAGCAAUUAAGAAGCCAAGGGACCAACUGCAGGGAUGAGUAAUUGACACCAUUUUAAAAUGAUUUUAGUCAAAAUGGCUGAAAAAUCAUAAAUGCAACCACUAGUAAUAUGAUUUAAUGGCUUAUCACUUAUGACCGAUGGAUGCUGCUGCUAUCAAAUCAAUGUCAUGUGUUCUAUGUGAUGCGACAAUGGCACACACAAAGUUUGGUGUCAAUAUGUCAAAGCUUUGUCGAGAUACAACCUCAGACGUAGCCUGGCAUCAUGCCUCAAAUUUGUUGCAUUGCUAUACAAAAACAGUUUUGUCUGUUAACAUGAAAUCCAUAACUUUUUGUCAGCACAGUCUGAAGAUGACCUGACUCUAUUUUGGUGAAAAUCGGACCAACGGUCAAGGAGGAGUUAGAAACAGUAUGUUCUCAACAUAAAUCAAAAAGGCGGACAGGAAGUUCAGCCGACUAUGGCAUAAUUGGUAUCUAUGUUGUCAGCAUGACCCAAGGAAUAU